Molecule: ribosomal RNA, 457 nt
Filed under: uncultured bacterium
Lineage: Bacteria
Description: bacterial SSU rRNA
Rfam family: Bacterial small subunit ribosomal RNA
Source: RNAcentral
AACGAACGCUGGCGGCAGGCUUAACACAUGCAAGUCGAGCGCGUAGCAAUACGAGCGGCAGACGGGUGAGUAACGCGUGGGAACGUACCCUUUCUACGGAAUAACGCAGGGAAACUUGUGCUAAUACCGUAUACGCCCUUUUGGGGAAAGAUUUAUCGGGGAAGGAUCGGCCCGCGUUGGAUUAGCUAGUUGGUGGGGUAAAGGCCUACCAAGGCGACGAUCCAUAGCUGGUCUGAGAGGAUGAUCAGCCACAUUGGGACUGAGACACGGCCCAAACUCCUACGGGAGGCAGCAGUGGGGAAUAUUGGACAAUGGGCGCAAGCCUGAUCCAGCCAUGCCGCGUGAGUGAUGAAGGCCCUAGGGUUGUAAAGCUCUUUCACCGGAGAAGAUAAUGACGGUAUCCGGAGAAGAAGCCCCGGCUAACUUCGUGCCAGCAGCCGCGGUAAGGAUGAGACGU